RNAcentral lists this ribosomal RNA (253 nucleotides) under uncultured bacterium. Its description in RNAcentral is "partial 16S ribosomal RNA". It matches the Rfam family "Bacterial small subunit ribosomal RNA", at positions 524 to 776 of the family's 1533-position model. The record is from RNAcentral.
UACGUAGGGACCAAGCGUUGUUCGGAUUUACUGGGCGUAAAGGGCGCGUAGGCGGCAAUUCAAGUCACUUGUGAAAUCUCCGGGCUUAACUCGGAACGGCCAAGUGAAACUGUCAAGCUAGAGUGCAGAAGGGGCAAUCGGAAUUCUUGGUGUAGCGGUGAAAUGCGUAGAUAUCAAGAGGAACACCUGAGGUGAAGACGGGUUGCUGGGCUGACACUGACGCUGAGGCGCGAAAGCCAGGGGAGCAAACGGG